AGGAUGAACGCUAGCGGCAGGCUUAAUACAUGCAAGUCGUGGGGGCAGCAGGACUGUAGCAAUACAGUUGCUGGCGACCGGCAAACGGGUGCGGAACACGUACGCAACCUUCCUUCAAGUGGGGAAUAGCCCGGCGAAAGCCGGAUUAACUACCCCGUAAUAUUAUGAGGUGGCAUCACCUUAUACUUAUAGCUCCGGCGCUUGAAGAUGGGCGUGCG
Molecule: ribosomal RNA, 218 nt
Filed under: uncultured soil bacterium
Lineage: Bacteria
Description: partial 16S ribosomal RNA
Rfam family: Bacterial small subunit ribosomal RNA
Source: RNAcentral